AUACGGAGGGCGCAAGCGUUGUUCGGAAUUACUGGGCGUAAAGCGCGUGUAGGCGGAGUAUCAGGUGUCUUGUGAAAUCCCCGGGCUCAACCCGGGAACUGCUGGGCAAACCGGUAUUCUUGAGGCAAGUAGAGGUGAGUGGAACAACUGGUGGAGCGGUGAAAUGCGUAGAUAUCAGUUGGAGCGCCGGAGGCGAAAGCGGCUCACUGGGCUUGUUCUGACGCUGAGACGCGAAAGCGUGGGUAGCAAACAGGAUUAGAUACCCCAGUAGUCC
RNAcentral lists this ribosomal RNA (274 nucleotides) under uncultured bacterium. RNAcentral's name for it is "partial 16S ribosomal RNA". It matches the Rfam family "Bacterial small subunit ribosomal RNA", at positions 523 to 796 of the family's 1533-position model. The record is from RNAcentral.